Molecule: ribosomal RNA, 726 nt
Filed under: uncultured archaeon
Lineage: Archaea
Description: bacterial SSU rRNA
Rfam family: Archaeal small subunit ribosomal RNA
Source: RNAcentral
CGAUUUUGCCUCUCAGUGUUCGACUAAGCCAUGCAAGUCAAAUGUUCUUCGUGAACAUGGCGAACUGCUCAGUAACACGUGGAUAACCUGCCCUUAGGACCGGCAUAACCCUGGGAAACUGGGGAUAAUUCCGGAUAACUCAUGAAUGCUGGAAUGCUUUGUGGGUAAAAUGGUUUCGACCGCCCAAGGAUGGAUCUGCGGCCUAUCAGGUAGUAGUGGGUGUAGUGUACCUACUAGCCGACGACGGGUACGGGUUGUGAGAGCAAGAGCCCGGAGAUGGAUUCUGAGACAUGAAUCCAGGCCCUACGGGGCGCAGCAGGCGCGAAAACUUUACAAUGCGGGAAACCGCGAUAAGGGGACACUGAGUGCCAGCAUCUUAUGUUGGCUGUCCGCAUGUUUAAAAAGCAUGUGUUAGCAAGGGCUGGGCAAGACCGGUGCCAGCCGCCGCGGUAACACCGGCAGCCCGAGUGGUGAUCACUAUUAUUGGGUCUAAAGGGUCCGUAGCCGGUUUGAUCAGUCUUUUGGGAAAUCUGACAGCUUAACUGUUAGGCUUCCAAAGGGUACUGUCAGACUUGGGACCGGGAGAGGUAAGAGGUACUACAGGGGUAGGAGUGAAAUCUUGUAAUCCCUGUGAGACCACCAGUGGCGAAGGCGUCUUACCAGAACGGGUCCGACGGUGAGGGACGAAAGCUGGGGGCACGAACCGGAUUAGAAUACCCGGGUAUU